RNAcentral lists this ribosomal RNA (186 nucleotides) under Escherichia coli. RNAcentral describes it as "partial 16S ribosomal RNA". It matches the Rfam family "Bacterial small subunit ribosomal RNA", at positions 1 to 180 of the family's 1533-position model. Lineage: Bacteria; Pseudomonadati; Pseudomonadota; Gammaproteobacteria; Enterobacterales; Enterobacteriaceae. RNAcentral also lists the same sequence under 2 other names. The record is from RNAcentral.
AAAUUGAAGAGUUUGAUCAUGGCUCAGAUUGAACGCUGGCGGCAGGCCUAACACAUGCAAGUCGAACGGUAACAGGAAACAGCUUGCUGUUUCGCUGACGAGUGGCGGACGGGUGAGUAAUGUCUGGGAAACUGCCUGAUGGAGGGGGAUAACUACUGGAAACGGUAGCUAAUACCGCAUAACGUC